This 426-nucleotide ribosomal RNA is filed under the name uncultured bacterium. Its description in RNAcentral is "bacterial SSU rRNA". It matches the Rfam family "Bacterial small subunit ribosomal RNA", at positions 356 to 773 of the family's 1533-position model. The record is from RNAcentral.
AGGGAAUUUUCGGCAAUGGGGGCAACCCUGACCGAGCAAUGCCGCGUGAAUGAUGAAGGUCCUCGGAUCGUAAAGUUCUGUUAUCAGGAAAGAACAUCAUGGAGAGUGGAAAGCUCCAUGACUGACGGUACCUGAUUAGAAAGCCCCGGCUAACUAUGUGCCAGCAGCCGCGGUAAUACAUAGGGGGCGAGCGUUAUCCGGAAUUAUUGGGCGUAAAGCGUGCGUAGGCGGUUACUUAAGUCUGGUGUAAAAACCCAAAGCUUAACUUUGGGAGGUCACUGGAAACUGGGUAACUUGAGUAUGGUAGAGGUAAGUGGAAUUCCAAGUGGAGCGGUGGAAUGCGUAGAGAUUUGGAGGAACACCAGUGGCGAAGGCGGCUUACUGGGCCAUUACUGACGCUCAGGCACGAAAGCGUGGGGAGCAAAC